GAUGAACGCUGGCGGCGUGCCUAAUACAUGCAAGUCGAGCGAACAGACGAGGAGCUUGCUCCUCUGACGUUAGCGGCGGACGGGUGAGUAACACGUGGAUAACCUACCUAUCAGACUGGGAUAACUUCGGGAAACCGGAGCUAAUACCGGAUAAUAUAUUGAACCGCAUGGUUCAAUAGUGAAAGACGGUUUUGCUGUCACUUAUAGAUGGAUCCGCGCCGCAUUAGCUAGUUGUUAAGGUAACGGCUUACCAAGGCAACGAUGCGUAGCCGACCUGAGAGGGUGAUCGGCCACACUGGAACUGAGACACGGUCCAGACUCCUACGGGAGGCAGCAGUAGGGAAUCUUCCGCAAUGGGCGAAAGCCUGACGGAGCAACGCCGCGUGAGUGAUGAAGGUCUUCGGAUCGUAAAACUCUGUUAUUAGGGAAGAACAAAUGUGUAAGUAACUAUGCACGUCUUGACGGUACCUAAUCAGAAAGCCACGGCUAACUACGUG
RNAcentral lists this ribosomal RNA (497 nucleotides) under uncultured bacterium. RNAcentral's name for it is "partial 16S ribosomal RNA". It matches the Rfam family "Bacterial small subunit ribosomal RNA", at positions 28 to 507 of the family's 1533-position model. The record is from RNAcentral.